Molecule: ribosomal RNA, 449 nt
Filed under: uncultured bacterium
Lineage: Bacteria
Description: bacterial SSU rRNA
Rfam family: Bacterial small subunit ribosomal RNA
Source: RNAcentral
AGCGAACGCUGGCGGCAGGCCUAACACAUGCAAGUCGAACGCCGUAGCAAUACGGAGUGGCAGACGGGUGAGUAACACGUGGGAACGUACCCUUCGGUUCGGAAUAACUCAGGGAAACUUGAGCUAAUACCGGAUAAGUCCGUGAGGAGAAAGAUUUAUCGCCGAAGGAUCGGCCCGCGUCUGAUUAGCUAGUUGGUGAGGUAACGGCUCACCAAGGCGACGAUCAGUAGCUGGCUGAGAGGAUGAUCAGCCACAUUGGGACUGAGACACGGCCCAAACUCCUACGGGAGGCAGCAGUGGGGAAUAUUGGACAAUGGGCGCAAGCCUGAUCCAGCCAUGCCGCGUGAGUGAUGAAGGCCCUAGGGUUGUAAAGCUCUUUUACCCGGGAAGAUAAUGAUUGUACCGGGAGAAUAAGCCCCGGCUAACUUCGUGCCAGCCGCCGCCGUAAC